UAAAUACUACCCAGUGACCGAUAGCGUAUAGUACUGUGAAGGAAAGGUGAAAAGAACCCCGGGAGGGGAGUGAAAAGAACCUGAAACCUUGUGCUUACAAGCACACAAAGCACGUCAACGUGUGAUGUGGUACCUUUUGUAGAAUGGUCCGGCGAGUGAAUGUAACUGGCGAGGUUAAGUUCUUAAGGAACGGAGCCGAAGCGAAAGCAAGUCUGAAUAGGGCGUCUUAGUCAGUUGUAUUCGACCCGAAACCGGGUGACCUAUCCAUGUCCAGGAUGAAGUUAAGGUAAAACUUGAUGGAGGUCCGAACCCACGGUCGUUGAAAUGCCCGGGGAUGAGAUGUGGAUAGCGGAGAAAUUCCAAUCGAACCCGGAUAUAGCUGGUUCUCUCCGAAAUAGCUUUAGGGCUAGCCUCGACUGAACAUUACCGGAGGUAGAGCACUGAAUGGGCUAGGGGCCGAGAGGUUACUGAACCCUAUCAAACUUCAAAUGCCGGAAAAUGAUAGUCGGGAGUCAGACUGCGUGAGAUAAGUUUCGUAGUCGAAAGGGAAACAGCCCAGACCCACAGCUAAGGUCCCAAAGUACGGUUAAGUGGAAAAGGAUGUGGGGUUGCACAGACAACCAGGAUGUUGGCUUAGAAGCAGCCACUCAUUAAAAGAGUGCGUAAUAGCUCACUGGUCGAGUGACUCUGCGCCGAAAAUUUAACGGGGCUAAAUCGUACACCGAAGCUUGGGAAUAUCAGUUAUUCUUCAUGGACUUGCAAGGAAAGAGACCAUGGCACGAAGUGCCAUCAAAUUGUCCAUAAGGAUAAAGCGAGCUUGUGAAGAAUAACUGAUAUUGGUAGGAGAGCGUUGAAUGCGGGGUGAAGUCAGAGCGAAAGCGCUGGUGGACUGCAUUGAAGUGAGAAUGCCGGAAUGAGUAGCGAGAUUUAUGUGAGAAUCAUAAAGGCCGAAAGACUAAGGUUUCAGAAGGAAGGUUCGUCCGCUUCUGGUUAGCCGGGAGCUAAGGUGAGGCCGAAAGGCGUAGCCGAUGCACAUACGGUGGAGAUUCCGUAGCCGUCGAAAUAUUUAAGCAAAGGGACACUUAUGAAGGACAUGACCCGGGCGAUGGUAGCCCCGGGCGUAAGGGACUGAAAACAAGUAAGGAAGCAUGUUUGGAUUAAGGCGAGAAAAGCUUUGUGUAUAUAUCAGACGUCCGUACCGCAAACCGACACAGGUAGUCAGGAAGAGGAUUCUAAGGCCAACGGGAGAAGGGUAGUUAAGGAACUCGGCAAAUUGACCCCGUAACUUCGGGAUAAGGGGCGGUGCGUAAGCACCCGCAGUGAAUAGGUCCAGGCGACUGUUUAUCAAAAACACAGCUCUCUGCUAAAUCGAAAGAUGACGUAUAGGGGGUGACACCUGCCCGGUGCUGGAAGGUUAAGAGGAGGAGUGCAAGCUCCGAAUUGAAGCCCCAGUAAACGGCGGCCGUAACUAUAACGGUCCUAAGGUAGCGAAAUUCCUUGUCGGGUAAGUUCCGACCCGCACGAAUGGUGUAACGAUCUGG
RNAcentral lists this ribosomal RNA (1541 nucleotides) under human metagenome. Its description in RNAcentral is "bacterial LSU rRNA". It matches the Rfam family "Bacterial large subunit ribosomal RNA", at positions 467 to 2012 of the family's 2925-position model. The record is from RNAcentral.